RNAcentral lists this long non-coding RNA (1215 nucleotides) under Bemisia tabaci. RNAcentral's name for it is "lncRNA ENSSSA2NGG014339". Lineage: Eukaryota; Metazoa; Arthropoda; Insecta; Hemiptera; Aleyrodidae. The record is from RNAcentral.
UCGAAGCGCGCAUUGACGCCUACAAACCUAACUGGAUACUUCAAGCACUGCGCAAUGCGUGAGGUAGCCCCUUAGGUUUGUAGGGGUCAGUGCGGGUUUCGCGCUGGCAGCACGCCGCGGCCCCCCCGACGGACGGGUGGUGAACGAUUUCUUGUGGGAGAGCUCCCUGGCGGAAAAACUCAUAUAUCGUGUGAUUUUUUUUUUUUUUUUUUAAUUUUCGACUUUUAAAAUUACAUACUGGUCGUGUGAAGUAUAAUUAGUGAACUCUCAUCACAUUUAAAUUUUUGCGGGCAAAGCAAUCAUCAGCCAACUAGUCACCAGUCACCAGCCAGUUUCUAGGUUAGAACCACUUGUUAUUGUUUUCAAUGGUUUUUAAGUGUUUUCAAGCUUGUUCAAAUGACGAAGUUUGUGUUGAAAAAAGAGAAGAAUUACAUCGUCCUCGAAGAAUAUACUUUUUCUAGCUACGUAAUGUAUUUGUCAAGAUUUUUUUGAAAAUUUGCCCAUUUUAUUUCAAGUUCAAGCUUUCAACCCUUUCUGUGCUUAACUUAAAAGUUAUCAUCACUCGAAAGCUCCUGGAAGGAUACUGAAACUUUAAGUCAUGUGGAAAUAUUUAAUUCUUCAAUAACUUUAACUCCAGUUUCAUGGUGCCAAUUUUAAAAUCAUUAAGUGCAUUAGAAUCACAAAUGCUUCUUCAAGAUGAGCGUUAACCAUCAAGCAAGCGCUGCGGAUGAUCUGAAUGACUCUCCUGUCGUCGAAAAUGGGGGUGAGAAUGCUCUGAGCAGCAACAUGAACGGGUCUGUUUCCCAUGUUGCCACCAAUUGUAAUCAUUUGCAUAAUCUUGAGGAGCAGAACGAACAUGAUCAAAAUAACGCUGAGGACAAAACCGCAGAUUCCAACGAUCCAGAAAACUUUGACGAAGGUGACCAUGUGCCAGAACCAGGGCCAUCACAGUAUAACGAAGAAUUUUCUUAUUCACAUACAUCAUGCUAUUACUGCAAUGGAUACUACGAGCCCUCAUUUGAUGAGCCGGUUUGUGGGACCUGUCACUUAUUCCUGUUUUCCGAUGAGGUGAGCCGACCGCACACAACUCUGCCAAUUAACAGUGAAAAACUGAUGAUGGGGACUCUGGAAAUGAUGAGCCAACUGACGGAUAUUAUGAGCGAAGAUCGUCCAAUCAGUCUGGUUAUCCAGUACCGGAACAGCCUCCAAAUUUAG